CGUAUCGUCAGGUAUGAUAACUCUAUUGUGCUCUUAUUUAUUAAAGUUUGGGCUUUUAAUCAAAUCUUCAUCUGUAGAUGAUAGCUUUUGACUGUUUUGUUGAUAAUCUUUCAAUGGAUGAUUGGAAAUUGCUUAAUUUAUUUAACCUUAACAUUUACACUUUACUGUUUAUCGAUGACGUCACGUUAUCAAGGAGCGCGAAAAUUGGCAGAAAACUAAAGUUGUUGUGAUCUUUUAUGGUAAACAUAAAAUUGUUCUGCGAUUUAAAGAGUGACAAAAUAAUCCUUCUACAACAGAAGGGAGUGUCCAAGUUUUCAAUAUUUCUGAAGGGAGCUGCUGACAGAGAUCUAGGAAGCGCUGAAAAGGUUAAGUAACCUAAUAUGCAUUUUUUUCACAACAUAUAUCGCAAUGAAUCUGUUAUUUUAUUUAUUUAUUUUUUGCAUCUCACCUGCUCUAGCUUGUUUCUAUCUAAUAAACCUGGAACUGCAGACUAAAUAUUGUUGGCUCUGUGUCAAAUUGCUUGUUUUGUUCCUAGAUUCUUCAGUGCUGAUUCGGAGUGAACCUACUGUAAGACAACAUCUCCAAGAUGCUAUUGACCACAAGACUAGUACAGGUUAUUAGAAACUGCACAGCACAGGACUUGCAGGACUUGUGAGGACUUCAGAUGAUACCAGUACUCAAAAGACCUUAGAUGAUGGCAACUAUAGAUGGACAUACAAACUACCGCCACUGCAAAAAAGAUUCUAAUUUGAAAGAAGUUUAUAAUGCAUGUUCGCUACUCCCAAUUCAGAAGACUGAAUCAGCCUGUGUAUCUGAAUGUUUCUCAAACUCACUCCUCUCUGCCGCGUCUGAAUUUGGGAUUUUCGUUAGCUGUCAGUUAUAAACAUCAAAAUUAAAACAAAUA
Long non-coding RNA from Carassius gibelio (silver crucian carp), 904 nucleotides. RefSeq lists it as uncharacterized. The transcript has 3 exons. NCBI's taxonomy places the organism in Eukaryota, Metazoa, Chordata, Actinopteri, Cypriniformes, Cyprinidae. The record is from RefSeq and is a predicted model, not a curated record.